This is a non-coding RNA of Solanum lycopersicum (tomato), 2354 nucleotides long. NCBI's taxonomy places the organism in Eukaryota, Viridiplantae, Streptophyta, Magnoliopsida, Solanales, Solanaceae. The record is from RefSeq and is a predicted model, not a curated record.
UGUGUUUACUCAAAACUUAAUUAUUUUUAGGAGAGAUUUGAGAUUAAUUUAGACGAGCAUUACGUGAAAGAUAGCUGUGAGGAUAUUCUGAAAAAUAGAAGUCGACAAUGGCGCUACAAGUUAAAACAAUUAUUGAAAGUGCACGCUCCGAGGAAGAAGCUCGUAAAAUUGAAGUGUCAGAGUUGAUCCCUGAAAAUUGGAACAGGCUUUGUGACGCGUAGAUCAAUCCAGAGCAUAAGAAACGAUGCGACAUAAAUAAGGUGAAUCGAACUAAGCUUAAAUCUAAUCAUUUAAUGGGGUCAAAGGCUUUUGUAGCUGCUUGUGCUGAAAUGGGUGAAGCAAACCCUGAAAGAGUGGAGCCUGACAGAAUCGAGUUUUAUAAGCAUACUUAUUACUCUUAAGGAAAAAGAAUGGUCAUCUCAAGAGACUGAGACUAACUAUAACAACAUGAAAGAUUUGAAAGAUCUAUAUAGUUCAGGAGAGUCUUCUAUGACUAUUGAUGAAAUCCUGGAUACUGUACUUGGUACAAAAUCGGGAUACAUAAAAGGUCUCGGUUAUGGUCCAAAAUCUAAUACUACAAUAGCUACACAAAGGAGAACUGCAGAGCUGGAAGACUCUCAAAAAGGCAAAAGAGGAAGCUGAUACAAUCCAAUAUAAUUUAAAGAAACGACUAAAUACAGCUGAAACUAUUGUUGAGUAUCAGCAGUCUCAAAUGCAAGACCAACAAUCUCAGAUACAAGCAUUAAAUUCUCAAAUGGACAUUGUAAUGGCAUGCCAACAGGAAAUGUUUAAGAAAAUGCAAUUUCUUGGUCGCUCAUCGCCAUCAAGUGGACAUUGAGCUCAUCAGAAUGCCUACUUAAGUAUAUUUCUAUUUUUAUUUUGCCAACUUAAGUUUCAUGUCUGACAAGUUGUAGUUUAAAUAAAUUAUAUUUUGUUUAUAUUACAUAAUAUAUAAGUUGAUAGCUUCCUCCUAAAAAUUAGUAUUGAACAUGCAUAUUGCCUUAACGUCAGUUGCUUCCUAAGCUUAUUAGACAGGUUGUAGAAAAAAUUAUCAGACAUUAUAAAUGGGGAACAUUAAAUUUCAGUAGCUAAGUAGAUAUAAAGAUGAGAUGUCCAUCUUAUUACAAAAAAAUUGUGGAUUUUAAGACAUGGGAAAUAGGAUAUCAACAUUGUAGAGCUUCAAUUGCUAUCCUUGCUAAUGUCUUACUCCAUGUUUCUGAUUUUAAAAUGAUAAUGUUAUAUUGUUCGUGUUGCUUUGCUGAGUACUUUCUAUUUUGUAUGUCGUGCUAAGAGUGAAAUAUGAUAUGAACGUGAUAACUAAGAGCUACCUUUUACUGUUAUGCAACAUGUAAAAAAUUAUAUUACAGUAAACCUAUUGACAGAAUUAGUGAAGUCUUGUGUCUCCAAACUAAGUGAAACAUAUUUGAGUGAACAACUUCAUCUUUUUCCUUUAUCUAACAUGCAUAUGACUUGUGUGAAACUGCACACCAGGUUUGCAAUUCACAUCCAUCUUUCUACCUGAUUUAAUUUCUUAGAUAAUUGCAAUCUUUGGUAACGCUUUCCCUCGGUAUUAUCCAACACAUAGUUGUUAUGAUAUUUACCGAGUAUUUCACUUAACUUGCUCCCUAUCGUCCAUAGCUGAGGAAAUCAUAGCAUGCUCUGUUAACUGAGUUAAUUUUUUCUUGGGGAUGAGCUUGUCAUUCAUAGGAGUAAUCUGGAAAUAAAAACUUUGAAUAGGACAAAAUGUCAUAGUUGGUGGUCCUCAAAGAUAUCAAUAUGUAUGAGAUAUUAAAUUCACUGAUGUGGCUUUGUUUAGUGGCUUCUUUUUUUAAAAAAGGAACUUCAAAAUUUAACAAUUAUAACAAUACCAAACAUAAAUCCUCAAAGAUGCUAAAUCCAUGAAUAGCAGAUGCUAUAAUGCCUUGGAUGCCUUUGUAUUAUGUAUAAUUUGUUUUGUAGAUCUUAUAAAUCUGAGAAUUACUACAUAUGGAAGACAUAAACUGUAUUACAUAUUCUACUUUUUGACCUUAGUAUGAAUAUAUUAAGUCCAAUCUUAAUUUUCUUUCCUCUCUUUUUACACAGGUAUAACAGGGGAAAUGUCACCAUAGUAUUGGUACUUUGGAAGAAAUUGCUUCUUAUUUGUCAUAAUUGGGAGUAAUAUUUAGUAGAUUUCAGUUAGUUUAUCUUGUUAUUGGACACAUUCUAUUUCCCCUUUAGGAACUUCUAAUGUUUAGUUCUUUUAAAUUAUAUGAUCAUGGAUGAAUACUACCUUGGUAUGAUUUUAGUUCUUUUCAAUUGUAUGAUCAUGGAUGAAUUUUAUUGUUAUCUAACAUGUUUUAUUAUUUAAUUUUCAA